GAUGAACGCUGGCGGCGUGCCUAAUACAUGCAAGUCGAGCGAACGGACGAGAAGCUUGCUUUUCUGAUGUUAGCGGCGGACGGGUGAGUAACACGUGGAUAACCUACCUAUAAGACUGGGAUAACUUCGGGAAACCGGAGCUAAUACCGGAUAAUAUUUUGAACCGCAUGGUUCAAAAGUGAAAGACGGUCUUGCUGUCACUUAUAGAUGGAUCCGCGCUGCAUUAGCUAGUUGGUAAGGUAACGGCUUACCAAGGCAACGAUGCAUAGCCGACCUGAGAGGGUGAUCGGCCACACUGGAACUGAGACACGGUCCAGACUCCUACGGGAGGCAGCAGUAGGGAAUCUUCCACAAUGGGCGAAAGCCUGACGGAGCAACGCCGCGUGAGUGAUGAAGGUCUUCGGAUCGUAAAACUCUGUUAUUAGGGAAGAACAUAUGUGUAAGUAACUGUGCACAUCUUGACGGUACCUAACCAGAAAGCCACGGCUAACUACGUG
Molecule: ribosomal RNA, 497 nt
Filed under: uncultured bacterium
Lineage: Bacteria
Description: partial 16S ribosomal RNA
Rfam family: Bacterial small subunit ribosomal RNA
Source: RNAcentral